CCCUUAGAUGUCCUGGGCCGCACGCGCGCUACACGGAGUGUCUGAGAUACGAGUCUGCCUGGUCCGGCAAGGUCUAGGUAAUCGCUAAAAGACACAUCAUGCUUGGGAUAGAUUAUUGCAAAUAUUAAUCUUGAACGAGGAAUUCCUAGUAAGCGCAAGUCAACAGCUUGCGUUGAUUACGUCCCUGCCCUUUGUACACACCGCCCGUCGCUACUACUGAUUGGAUGUUUAAGCGAGGUUCUCGAACUGCUAGCGACUUAGCUUCGGUGAGGUCGCAGUGUGGGAAGUGAACCUAGCUUUGGUGUCUAGAGGAAGUAAAAGUCGUAACA
This 329-nucleotide ribosomal RNA is filed under the name uncultured eukaryote. Its description in RNAcentral is "partial 18S ribosomal RNA". It matches the Rfam family "Eukaryotic small subunit ribosomal RNA", at positions 1470 to 1796 of the family's 1831-position model. The record is from RNAcentral.